UACGUACAAAACUAGCGUUGUCCGGAAUCAUUGAGCGUAAAGAACGUGUAGACGGCCCAAUAAGUCCGCUGUGAAAGUCGGGAGCUCAACCCUCAAAUACCAAUAAAUACUGUCAAGCUCGAGUACGGAAGAGGCGAGUGGAAUUCCUGGUGUAGCGGUGAAAUGCGCAGAUAUCAAAAGGAACACCUAUUGCGAAGGCAGCUCGCUGGGACGUUACUGACGCUGGGACGCGAAAGCGUAAAGAGCAAACAGG
This 253-nucleotide ribosomal RNA is filed under the name uncultured bacterium. RNAcentral's name for it is "partial 16S ribosomal RNA". It matches the Rfam family "Bacterial small subunit ribosomal RNA", at positions 524 to 776 of the family's 1533-position model. The record is from RNAcentral.